GAUAAAGCGGAAAAAAUCUUGGAUCCAAGUCUUCUUCAGGAAAUGAAAGAAGAGACAAGCAGUAAUGAUCUCCAUGUAGUUCAAGAGUGCCUGAUUUUAAUCCUUGAAAUAGGGGUAGCUUGCUCUGCUGAAUUACCCAGUGAACGGAUGAACAUUACUGAUGUCACUGCUAAGCUGCAGACGAUCAAAAGGAGACUCUCUUU
This 203-nucleotide unclassified non-coding RNA is filed under the name Hevea brasiliensis (rubber tree). The record is from RNAcentral. Lineage: Eukaryota; Viridiplantae; Streptophyta; Magnoliopsida; Malpighiales; Euphorbiaceae.